This is a non-coding RNA of Callorhinus ursinus (northern fur seal), 454 nucleotides long. Lineage: Eukaryota; Metazoa; Chordata; Mammalia; Carnivora; Otariidae. The record is from RefSeq and is a predicted model, not a curated record.
GGUUAAUAUCAAAGAUAUACAUGACCUGGGGAAUCUGCACGUGAUACCAGUUGAGCCCCAGAAAGGCAGUGCAACCUUGGAAGUGCUGAGCAGGGAGAAGGCUCUACAGGACAAGCAGCUGGAGUGAGAAUCAAGACAACCAGAUCACAGGACCAGACCUUCCAUAAUCCACAUGAUACUGGUGGAAAUUUUCCUGGACCUGAUCAAGCGCGUAGCCUGGUUGCUGUGUUGGAUACCGCCCUGCAUGUGUCCUCCUUACAACUCAUUCUUUCAGAACACAGCCUAGGUUAAUAUCAAAGAUACACGUGACCUGGGGAAUCUGAAUGUGAUACCAAUUGAGCCCCAGAAAGGCAGUGCGACCUCAGAAGUGCUGAGCAGGGAGAAGGCUCUGCAGGACGAGCAGCUGGAGUGAGAAUCAAGACAACCACAUCACAGGACCAGAUCAUCCACAAUC